UACGUAGGAUCCGAGCGUUAUCCGGAUUUAUUGGGUUUAAAGGGUGCGUAGGCGGUUUGAUAAGUUAGAGGUGAAAUGUCGGGGCUCAACCCCGAAACUGCCUCUAAUACUGUUGGACUAGAGAAUAGUUGCGGUAGGCGGAAUGUAUGGUGUAGCGGUGAAAUGCUUAGAGAUCAUGCAGAACACCGAUUGCGAAGGCAGCUUACCAAACUAUAUCUGACGUUGAGGCACGAAAGCGUGGGUAGCAAACAGG
RNAcentral lists this ribosomal RNA (253 nucleotides) under uncultured bacterium. RNAcentral's name for it is "partial 16S ribosomal RNA". It matches the Rfam family "Bacterial small subunit ribosomal RNA", at positions 524 to 776 of the family's 1533-position model. The record is from RNAcentral.